GCAGAUAUGGCCGAGUGGUUAAGGCGACUGCCUCGAAAUCAGUUUCCAUCUUGGAGCGUAGGUUCGAAUCCUACUAUCUGCG
Molecule: transfer RNA, 82 nt
Filed under: Daphnia pulicaria
Lineage: Eukaryota; Metazoa; Arthropoda; Branchiopoda; Diplostraca; Daphniidae
Description: tRNA-Ser
Rfam family: tRNA
About the family: Transfer RNA (tRNA) molecules are approximately 80 nucleotides in length. Their secondary structure includes four short double-helical elements and three loops (D, anti-codon, and T loops). Further hydrogen bonds mediate the characteristic L-shaped molecular structure. tRNAs have two regions of fundamental functional importance: the anti-codon, which is responsible for specific mRNA codon recognition, and the 3' end, to which the tRNAs corresponding amino acid is attached (by aminoacyl-tRNA synthetases). tRNAs cope with the degeneracy of the genetic code in two manners: having more than one tRNA (with a specific anti-codon) for a particular amino acid; and 'wobble' base-pairing, i.e. permitting non-standard base-pairing at the 3rd anti-codon position.
Source: RNAcentral